RNAcentral lists this ribosomal RNA (461 nucleotides) under uncultured bacterium. RNAcentral describes it as "partial 16S ribosomal RNA". It matches the Rfam family "Bacterial small subunit ribosomal RNA", at positions 338 to 795 of the family's 1533-position model. The record is from RNAcentral.
CCUACGGGUGGCAGCAGUGAGGAAUAUUGGUCAAUGGGCGAGAGCCUGAACCAGCCAAGUCGCGUGAAGGAUGACGGCCCUACGGGUUGUAAACUUCUUUUGUCAGGGAGCAAUUGAGUCCACGUGUGGUCUUAGUGUGAGUACCUGAAGAAAAAGCAUCGGCUAACUCCGUGCCAGCAGCCGCGGUAAUACGGAGGAUGCGAGCGUUAUCCGGAUUUAUUGGGUUUAAAGGGUGCGUAGGCGGUUUUAUAAGUUAGAGGUGAAAAUUCGGGGCUCAACUCCGGACGUGCCGCUAAGACUGGAUGACUAGAGAAUAGAUACGGUAGGCGGAAUGUAUGGUGUAGCGGUGAAAUGCGUAGAGAUCAUACAGAACACCGAUUGCGAAGGCAACUGACCAAACUAUAACUGACGUUGAGGCACGAAAGCGUGGGGAGCAAACAGGAUUAGAUACCCGAGUAGUC